RNAcentral lists this ribosomal RNA (429 nucleotides) under Chloroflexota bacterium. RNAcentral describes it as "Chloroflexi bacterium partial 16S ribosomal RNA". It matches the Rfam family "Bacterial small subunit ribosomal RNA", at positions 355 to 776 of the family's 1533-position model. The record is from RNAcentral. Lineage: Bacteria; Bacillati; Chloroflexota.
UGGGGAAUAUUGCACAAUGGGCGCAAGCCUGAUGCAGCCAUGCCGCGUGUGUGAAGAAGGCCUUCGGGUUGUAAAGCACUUUCAGUCGGGAGGAAGGUGGUAAGGUUAAUAACCUUGGCAAUUGACGUUACCGACAGAAGAAGCACCGGCUAACUCCGUGCCAGCAGCCGCGGUAAUACGGAGGGUGCAAGCGUUAAUCGGAAUUACUGGGCGUAAAGCGCACGCAGGCGGUUGAUUGAGUCAGAUGUGAAAUCCCCGGGCUUAACCCGGGAAUUGCAUCUGAUACUGGUCAGCUAGAGUCUUGUAGAGGGGGGUAGAAUUCCAUGUGUAGCGGUGAAAUGCGUAGAGAUCUGGAGGAAUACCGGUGGCGAAGGCGGCCCCCUGGACGAAGACUGACGCUCAGGUGCGAAAGCGUGGGGAGCAAACAGG